RNAcentral lists this unclassified non-coding RNA (433 nucleotides) under Penaeus monodon (black tiger shrimp). RNAcentral's name for it is "uncharacterized LOC119588647, transcript variant X2". The record is from RNAcentral. Lineage: Eukaryota; Metazoa; Arthropoda; Malacostraca; Decapoda; Penaeidae.
AGAUCCCAUCUUCCCCCUGGAAUGCUGAAAGAGUACAAGAGUCGUUACCCAUGGUUCACUGAGGAACAUUACAUAAAGCCUCGAACUCGUCUUGCAAAUCAUCAGCGACGCUUGAGGCACAAAUCCCUCAUUCCCAAAGUGGUUCGACUUGCUGAUCCAUUUGAAGCUCCGAAACCAAUAACUUUUGUGCCUGCCUUGGAUAGAUCACCCAAACGCAUCAUAAGAAGUCGAUAAUGAGAGGGAUAUUAUCUGUGAUCAUUUGUCUCCAAGUGUGUCUUGGAUGCUGUUACUCACCUCACACAGAGCUAUCUCUUCUUUCCAAUGCAGUAUUCCUGCUUCUUACAUUUGGGAUAUACAGGUUGUUGGUGCUAUUAUUCGUGUAAGCUAUGACAGAAAAAUUCUGGGGAACUCCUGUGUUAUGUGAGAAAAUGGA